Molecule: long non-coding RNA, 199 nt
Filed under: Elaeis guineensis (African oil palm)
Lineage: Eukaryota; Viridiplantae; Streptophyta; Magnoliopsida; Arecales; Arecaceae
Description: long non-coding RNA (EGUI_LNC023708)
Source: RNAcentral
GGUUAAGCAUGGUCUGCCAAAAUGUGCUUGAUCUUGUAGGGAGAAUCCAAUGUGGUAGAAAGUGUCUCCUGGUGUUAAUACGGAAGGUUUUUAUUUGCUUUUUUAUUAUUUUAAACCAAUGAUAAUGUGGUAAUUUGGGGGUAGCUUGGUGUGUAAUAAACGUAUGCAAUGAUAAAUAGGUGGUCUAACACACUCUGGC